UACGGGGGGAGCAAGCGUUGUUCGGAUUUACUGGGCGUAAAGGGCGCGUAGGCGGUCAGCACAAGUCAGUUGUGAAAUCUCCGAGCUUAACUCGGAAAGGUCAACUGAUACUGUGCGACUAGAGUGCGGAAGGGGCAACUGGAAUUCUUGGUGUAGCGGUGAAAUGCGUAGAUAUCAAGAGGAACACCUGCGGCGAAGGCGGGUUGCUGAGCCGACACUGACGCUGAGGCGCGAAAGCCAGGGGAGCGAACGGG
Molecule: ribosomal RNA, 254 nt
Filed under: uncultured bacterium
Lineage: Bacteria
Description: partial 16S ribosomal RNA
Rfam family: Bacterial small subunit ribosomal RNA
Source: RNAcentral